ACAGUCCCCUCUCCUGCUCCUGGUACAGGGUCACACACAGCCCCCUCUCCUGCUCCUGGUACAGGGUCACACACAGUCCCCUCUCCUGCUCCUGGUACAGGGUCACACACAGUCCCCUCUCCUGCUCCUGGUACAGGUCACACAGUCCCCUCCUCCUGCUCCUGGUACAGGGUCACACAGUCCCCUCUCCUGCUCCUGGUACAGGGUCACACAGUCCCCUCUCCUGCUCCUGGUACAGGGUCACACAGUCCCCUCUCCUGCUCCUGGUACAGGUCACACACAGUCCCCUCUCCUGCUCCUGGUACAGGUCACACAGUCCCCUCUCCUGCUCCUGGUACAGGUCACACAGUCACCUCCUCCUGCUCCUGGUACAGGUCACACAGUCCCCUCUCCUGCUCCUGGUACCAGUCACACAGUCCCCUCUCCUGCUCCUGGUACCGGUCACACAGUCCCCUCUCCUGCUCCUGGUACAGGGUCACACAGUCCCCUCUCCUGCUCCUGGUACAGGUCACACAGUCCCCUCUCCUGCUCCCUGGCUGCUGAAUUUUAUACUGAACUUAAGGUCUCCUUUUUUGAAGUCUUCCAAAGAGCACUCCACAUCCACCCAUUUCCCAACAGGCUGGUGGCAAGACCUAAAAAGGACAUGAACUAGAAAAUAAAUCCCCUUGAGUCCACA
Molecule: long non-coding RNA, 676 nt
Filed under: Oryctolagus cuniculus (rabbit)
Lineage: Eukaryota; Metazoa; Chordata; Mammalia; Lagomorpha; Leporidae
Description: lncRNA (ENSOCUG00000031559.1)
Source: RNAcentral